AUUAAGAUACACAGGCAGGAGGGUGUGGGUGGGGAAAGAUGGUGGGCAGCCCAAGGCACCGUAGUCUGUCUUUCUGGCCCCUUGAGGUGGGAUCCCUCCACUGACUUUCAAGAGCUGCCUCCCCCUAAUUAAAGUAAAUGUUAAAAGUCUUCAACCCUCCCUUGGACACGACUGCCGUCUUCCCCUCCUCCCCUUUCAUCCUUCACAGCACAGGCUCUGGUUGGGCCAGUAGAGCUGGUUUUAUGUCACUUUCAUCCAACAUAAUACCUGCUCAAUAGCUCUGGCUGGGAAGUAGGGGCAGAGGUGAGAGCCAACAGCGAAGGUGGCCUCAGUGGUGCUGCUGUGGUCUUAAGUGGAGCCUAAGAAUUCGUGGGUGAUGCUAAUAAUGCUAUUUUAAGGACCAAUCUUUGAGAACCAGUGCUCCAAAUCAGCGUCUGGGCUCAGGCUCAGCAGCACCAUCUGGCCUCCAGUCUUCCAAACUGCAGGAAGAAAUGAGAGAAAAGGAACGAUUAUACAGCAUCAGUCAGCAUCAGAAACUUUCUAAAUCGAAGAAAACAAUCAGCCUUAUGUAUAUCUGCUGCAUCUGAGGGUUGUAUCUCAACAAGGAGAGAAGAAAAACACAUUUUCCUUUUGUAAAAUUCACCCUGGACACUGGGUGCAUGUACAACCCGAUGGCUUCAAUCAUGUGAUCCUACCAGCCUUGUCUCCCUCUUGCCCAACACCAUAAAUGCUUUUUUUUUUCCCCCUUCCUUUGAGAGGCUAGUCUGGGACUUAAAUCACUCUUUCUACCUUAAAAGCCUGUGCUCACUCCACAGAUGAUACUCCCUUACCCUCCCAGACCCUCGGUUUCCAUAUCUACCGAAUGAGAAAGAGGCUGUUAUUAUGAAACACACCACUAUGCAAACAAGGGAGAAAAUAUUAAUCAUUAAAGACAAGAUAUAUACCUUCA
Long non-coding RNA from Bubalus bubalis (water buffalo), 949 nucleotides. RefSeq lists it as uncharacterized. The record is from RefSeq and is a predicted model, not a curated record. Lineage: Eukaryota; Metazoa; Chordata; Mammalia; Artiodactyla; Bovidae. The transcript is spliced from 3 exons.